GAUAUCAAAAACUAAAAGCAAAAUCUAACGAUUUCGCUCCUAGUUAUGCUAACCAAGCGUAUUUAUACGCUUACGCAGCUUAACAGGCGUCCUGAAGUUUGAUUCUCGAUCGAACCGACUGGGUGUAAACCAAUUCGAGAUGCUACUUAUUUUCUUUUGAUUUAGAGGAAAUUAGUAAAAGACAAUUAAAUCUUACCUAUAAAUUCCUGUCGAUUGGAUAAACUUAUAGGGAAAUAUUAUUAAUCGAAUAAGCUUGUAGAAGUUUUGUUUUUAAGUUUUUCGGAUGUGGGUUCGAUUCCCACCAUCUCCACAA
This 313-nucleotide transfer-messenger RNA is filed under the name Candidatus Woesebacteria bacterium. RNAcentral describes it as "partial transfer-messenger RNA". It matches the Rfam family "transfer-messenger RNA", at positions 76 to 374 of the family's 374-position model. Rfam says of the family: Bacterial tmRNA, also known as 10Sa RNA or SsrA, is named for its dual tRNA and mRNA-like properties. Lineage: Bacteria; Candidatus Woeseibacteriota. The record is from RNAcentral.